UGAGCGUGACCUGUUAAGUUGAACACGGUGAAGCAUUCACCGUAUCUUUUUUACAUUUUACUUAAACAGUAUCUUUUUCUCAUUCAUCAUAUUUAUUAUAUUAAAUAUUGUAUAAAUUAAGUCGAAUGCGGUGAACUAUUCAUCGUAUUUGGACACGGUGACUGAUUCACCGCGUUCAACUCUCGUGGCGCUUGUGUAGUUUCAUAACG
Molecule: long non-coding RNA, 209 nt
Filed under: Ananas comosus (pineapple)
Lineage: Eukaryota; Viridiplantae; Streptophyta; Magnoliopsida; Poales; Bromeliaceae
Description: long non-coding RNA (ACOM_LNC004990)
Source: RNAcentral